RNAcentral lists this ribosomal RNA (993 nucleotides) under Lacticaseibacillus paracasei. Its description in RNAcentral is "bacterial SSU rRNA". It matches the Rfam family "Bacterial small subunit ribosomal RNA", at positions 62 to 1028 of the family's 1533-position model. Lineage: Bacteria; Bacillati; Bacillota; Bacilli; Lactobacillales; Lactobacillaceae. The record is from RNAcentral.
UCUCGUUGAUGAUCGGUGCUUGCACCGAGAUUCAACAUGGAACGAGUGGCGGACGGGUGAGUAACACGUGGGUAACCUGCCCUUAAGUGGGGGAUAACAUUUGGAAACAGAUGCUAAUACCGCAUAGAUCCAAGAACCGCAUGGUUCUUGGCUGAAAGAUGGCGUAAGCUAUCGCUUUUGGAUGGACCCGCGGCGUAUUAGCUAGUUGGUGAGGUAAUGGCUCACCAAGGCGAUGAUACGUAGCCGAACUGAGAGGUUGAUCGGCCACAUUGGGACUGAGACACGGCCCAAACUCCUACGGGAGGCAGCAGUAGGGAAUCUUCCACAAUGGACGCAAGUCUGAUGGAGCAACGCCGCGUGAGUGAAGAAGGCUUUCGGGUCGUAAAACUCUGUUGUUGGAGAAGAAUGGUCGGCAGAGUAACUGUUGCCGGCGUGACGGUAUCCAACCAGAAAGCCACGGCUAACUACGUGCCAGCAGCCGCGGUAAUACGUAGGUGGCAAGCGUUAUCCGGAUUUAUUGGGCGUAAAGCGAGCGCAGGCGGUUUUUUAAGUCUGAUGUGAAAGCCCUCGGCUUAACCGAGGAAGCGCAUCGGAAACUGGGAAACUUGAGUGCAGAAGAGGACAGUGGAACUCCAUGUGUAGCGGUGAAAUGCGUAGAUAUAUGGAAGAACACCAGUGGCGAAGGCGGCUGUCUGGUCUGUAACUGACGCUGAGGCUCGAAAGCAUGGGUAGCGAACAGGAUUAGAUACCCUGGUAGUCCAUGCCGUAAACGAUGAAUGCUAGGUGUUGGAGGGUUUCCGCCCUUCAGUGCCGCAGCUAACGCAUUAAGCAUUCCGCCUGGGGAGUACGACCGCAAGGUUGAAACUCAAAGGAAUUGACGGGGGCCCGCACAAGCGGUGGAGCAUGUGGUUUAAUUCGAAGCAACGCGAAGAACCUUACCAGGUCUUGACAUCUUUUGAUCACCUGAGAGAUCAGGUUUCCCCUUCGGGGGCA